Small nucleolar RNA from Myotis lucifugus (little brown bat), 206 nucleotides. The record is from Ensembl. Lineage: Eukaryota; Metazoa; Chordata; Mammalia; Chiroptera; Vespertilionidae.
UCUGUCUUCUUACCGUUCUGGAGGAUCUUGGUGGGCAAUACAGAGUUAUGUGUGUUCACUGUAAGGGCAGACCAACAAGAAAUUCUUCCUGCUUUUGAACUAUCUCUCUUUCAUGGAGAUAUUUCUUCCCAGUUGCCAGGAAGAAAUUGUGGUAACUGGAGUGAGUAGGGAGGGACAAGGCAAAAAAUAAAAAUAAAAUAAAAAGA